Molecule: ribosomal RNA, 492 nt
Filed under: uncultured bacterium
Lineage: Bacteria
Description: partial 16S ribosomal RNA
Rfam family: Bacterial small subunit ribosomal RNA
Source: RNAcentral
AGUGAACGCUGGCGGUAUGCCUAACACAUGCAAGUCGAACGGCAGCACAGUAAGAGCUUGCUCUUACGGGUGGCGAGUGGCGGACGGGUGAGGAAUACAUCGGAAUCUACUUUUUCGUGGGGGAUAACGUAGGGAAACUUACGCUAAUACCGCAUACGACCUACGGGUGAAAGCAGGGGAUCUUCGGACCUUGCGCGAUUGAAUGAGCCGAUGUCGGAUUAGCUAGUUGGCGGGGUAAAGGCCCACCAAGGCGACGAUCCGUAGCUGGUCUGAGAGGAUGAUCAGCCACACUGGAACUGAGACACGGUCCAGACUACUACGGGAGGCAGCAGUGGGGAAUAUUGGACAAUGGGCGCAAGCCUGAUCCAGCCAUACCGCGUGGGUGAAGAAGGCCUUCGGGUUGUAAAGCCGUUUUGUUGGGAAAGAAAAGCAGCAGGUUAAUACGCCGCUGUUCUGACGGUACCCAAAGAAUAAGCACCGGCUAACUUCGUG